CCAUUUUUGGCUGUGGAGAUCACCGGAAAACUCUAUUUUCGACGAUCUUCACUCCAUUUUUCCCUUCCCAAACAAUAAGAACCCAAAUUUCACAUUUACACAAGGAUUUCUCAACACAUAUAUAUAAAAUCAUACUUUUUUCCAAAAAUAAAAAGAAAAACAUGAUUUUUUUUUUAAUAAAAAUCUUACAUUCUUCAGAGAGAAAUGACCAACUGGGUCUCCUGUUUUUCUUUUUUUGUCGGUGACUGGGUCGACGGUACUACAGUAAUUUUUCACUCUCCUUGACUGGUUUUUGCUUCUUUUUCGAAAGGCAAGGGGUAAAAUUGGGUUUCUCUUGAUUUUUGUUGGUUUUCAAGGUUUUCAAUAUUUUUGCUUUUUUUUUUUUUAACUGGUCAAAGGCCUCUUUGGAAAAAUGGCCGGGUCAACUGGCUGUUGGCCACUAUUUCCUCUACCUAUCAUUCACUCUUUGGGCCUUUUCUACCGUGCAGCCCAGUCCAUCCUCUUUUAUCAUGCUAUUUUUCAGUUUUGGAUUGGAGCCCAUUGAUAAAGUCGCCCUCCACAGCCAACGACGGUGCUAAUGCCUUGAAGAGAUGCCGACAUUCCUCCUCUUUCCUUCCCCAUUCCCCAUUUUCCCUAUUUUGAUAUGAUGCCAACAGAAUAUUGAACAAGCUCCGGAAACCCCUACAAAUCCUGCCGCUAGUAAUAGCUUCGAUUUCAUCAAUUCUGGAUAGGAUUUCAGAUUUCAAGGUGGUUCUCUCCUUUUCUUCACUCUCUUACCAAUCCCCUUUCUUCCUUGCAUCUAAAAUUGCCGGCAAUGGAGCCACCAUUCCUUCCACAAUUAGCGCAUACAUCCUAUGAUCGCGGACUUCUACCUUACUUGGUUCUUCUUUGCGGUUAUGGCUGUCAAUAUUUGCUCCGAUUUCCUCAGGUUCAGGUGAUGCCAUUGUGGGUUUUGAAACUGGAGCGACGGUCUGAAGAGUUUGGUACGUGGUUUGGUUAGAGGAGUAAUGGUGGAUGGUAUUUGGGCUGUAAGCAUUUGGGUUAUAUGAACUGGUUUUAGCUUUAGAUGGGUCGUAUUGUGAUUGGGCCUGCUUCAUUUCAUUCCUGUCAUCAACACUCUGGGCCACUUCCUUGCCUAAGUCCAGAUCCAUCAAAUCCAGCAAUUUCCUUUCGUUCUUCUCUAGAUUCAGCUCAUUUGCAGUGACCCUUUCCACGAGAUGCUCAUAUCUCUUCUCCUCCUCCGAGGAUGGUGAUGGUAAGAUUUCAAUUAGUCUCUGGUUUUUUCUGAUGACAACUUCCUCCCGGCAACUUUUUCUAACCGUACCUUUUCCUAUUUCGUUGUUUUUGGGUGAGAUUUCUGGAUUCGCACUGUUUUCGAUCAGAUUAAUUGCAAUUUCGAUUUCCUUUCUAUCCCACUUUUUCAUCAUCAGAUCCAUCUUCUCCAUCAUCCAGGACAUUACCUUGUUAAUUUCAGAUUUUAGUGUUUUCAUAUCUUCAUGGAUUUCCAACUGAAUUCCAUCAAUUUUCGUCUCCUCCACUCGAUCUUCUACUUGCUUUUCAUCUCCAAAUUUAAUACCCCAGGGCCAGAAUGGUUUCUCUGAUACCAUUUUGAUAGAAUGGUUGCUCUGAUACCAUUUUGAUAGAACCCCCUGUCAUUUACCGAAUCUGUUGUGGCAAACAGAGAAGAAGAUGGAGUCAACAAUGGGGUCUGAUUUGUAAUUGACCGGGAAAUAACGUAAAAUAUUGAAGAAUUGGAAUAGAAGUAUGUAUGAAUAAACUAUUCUGUAAUUGAUAAUAAUAGAAAUGAGAAAUUGAAAGAACAAUUCUCAGGCUAUUCGAAAGACUUGAAACCUCCCCCAUUUUUUCCUAACGGAAAACCACAAUUUCCAUGCCCUUUUCAGCCCCUUUCCUUCCAUAUUUAUUUGCAU
RNAcentral lists this long non-coding RNA (1928 nucleotides) under Olea europaea subsp. europaea. Lineage: Eukaryota; Viridiplantae; Streptophyta; Magnoliopsida; Lamiales; Oleaceae. The record is from RNAcentral.